UUCGUUCAGUUACAUCGUUACUCCUUCGGGCCUUGGUAGCGCAGCUAACGCGUGAAGUUGACCAUAUGGGGAGUACGGUCGCAAGAUUAAACUCCAAAGGAAUUGACGGGGACCCGCACAAGCGGUGGAUGAUGUGGAUUAAUUCGAUGCAACGCGAAAACCUUACCUACCCUUGACAUGUCUGGAAUCCCGAAGGGGUUGGGAGUGCUCAUAGAGAACCGGAACACAGAGUGCUGCAUGGCUGUCGUCGAAGAGCUCGUGUCGUGAGAUGUUGGGUUAAGUCCGCAACGAGGCACAACCCUUGUCAUUAGUUGCUACGAAAGGGCACUCUAAUGGAGUGCCGGUGACAAACCCGGAGGAAGGUGGGGAUGACGUCAAGUCCUCAUGGCCCAUAUGGUGGGGCUUCACGUCAUACAAUGGUCGGGACAGAGGGUCGCCAACCCGCGAGGAGAGGAGCCAAUCCCAGAAGCGAUCGUAGUGGAUCGCAGUCUGCAACUCGACUGCGUGAAGUCAGAAUCGCUAAUCGUGGAGAUUCAGCAUGUCGCGGUGAAUACGUUCCCGGGUCUUGUACACACCGCCCGUCACACCAUGGGAGUGGGUUUUACCAGAGAUAGUUAGCCUAACCGUAAGGAGGGCGAUUACGUGCAGGAUUCAUGACUGGGGUGAAGUCGUAACAAGGUAA
RNAcentral lists this unclassified non-coding RNA (682 nucleotides) under uncultured Bordetella sp. RNAcentral describes it as "partial 16S-23S ribosomal RNA intergenic spacer". It matches the Rfam family "Bacterial small subunit ribosomal RNA", at positions 816 to 1499 of the family's 1533-position model. Lineage: Bacteria; Pseudomonadati; Pseudomonadota; Betaproteobacteria; Burkholderiales; Alcaligenaceae. The record is from RNAcentral.